This 167-nucleotide unclassified non-coding RNA is filed under the name uncultured fungus. Its description in RNAcentral is "sequence contains ITS1". The record is from RNAcentral. Lineage: Eukaryota; Fungi.
UUAACUAUUAUAUAGUACUCAGACAGCAGAGAUUCAAGGGUUUGUGUCCUCUGGCCGGCCCGCGAGGGCUAGCCAAAGCAACUGAAGUUUGGUAUACAAAGGGUGAGAAUGGGACCGCAAGGGUCACCGAUUCCUUAAUGAUCCUUCCGCAGGUUCACCUACGGAAA